CGCCGCGGCUAUACGAGAGGCUCAAGUCGAUAGAUUCCGGCGUAAAGGGUGGUUAGGGAGCCACAACCCCUAGAGAAGAACGCUCUUCAAGCUGUUAUACGCCCCAAGAGUGUGAAAUCCUGACACGAAAGCAACUCUACUUUGACCUGAACCCACGACAGCUCCGGCA
This 169-nucleotide ribosomal RNA is filed under the name Synodus lacertinus. RNAcentral describes it as "partial small subunit ribosomal RNA". Lineage: Eukaryota; Metazoa; Chordata; Actinopteri; Aulopiformes; Synodontidae. The record is from RNAcentral.